AUAGAAAAUAAAACUUCUAAAACGCUUAAAUGCAAAACAAAGCUCAAUUCAAUCCUAUAUUAAAAACAAGCUCCAAACUUACAAUGUAAUUUUAUGUUGGUUGCAGGAAGUUUCAUGGAAUGAAGCUAAAUUGUUUUAUGUUAAAUGUCCUUUUUUGCUAUAAAUUCAAAUUCUUGCCCAGUAGGUGGCGAUAUGCACAAAGAAUGCGAGAAAGUGGAGAUUUACGUAUAGUAAAAAAGGACUUAAAUAUUGAUCUGUUUCUCACCCACUCCUCUUAUAUUACUUCUGAAUGAUUUAACCACUGUUGAUUACUUUUAUGCUGCCUUUACAUGCUUUUUGGAGCUUCAAAGUUCUAGACACCGUUCACUUGCAUUGUAUGGGCCUACAGAUCUGAGAUAUUCUUCUAAAAAUCUUCGCUUGUGUUCGGCAGAAGAAAGAAAAACAUACACAUGGGAUGGCAUGAGGAACCGGAGUGGGUGGUCCAUAGACGAAUAAUAAAACUUGAGGAAAAUGACAGUCACAAGAACAUGUUCGAGCACCCAUGGGAACAUUCAAAGUUCUCUGUGUGAGAGUGUUGCAGCUGACCAUUGGUGAAAUGCAAAACAACUGAAAGGCACACCACUUACCAGGCCCACCAGCAUCCUCUGCUGUUGGUCUUCCUCCUGAAACAGUGGAACAACACGCCUGUCUGGAGGGAGGACGAGA
Molecule: long non-coding RNA, 705 nt
Organism: Myxocyprinus asiaticus (Chinese sucker)
Lineage: Eukaryota; Metazoa; Chordata; Actinopteri; Cypriniformes; Catostomidae
Exons: 3
Source: RefSeq, a predicted model, not a curated record